RNAcentral lists this non-coding RNA (347 nucleotides) under Clostridium tepidiprofundi. RNAcentral's name for it is "T-box sequence". It matches the Rfam family "T-box leader". From Rfam's summary of the family: Uncharged tRNA acts as the effector for transcription antitermination of genes in the T-box leader family. Lineage: Bacteria; Bacillati; Bacillota; Clostridia; Eubacteriales; Clostridiaceae. The record is from RNAcentral.
UUAAAGACUAUGAAGAGAAGAGUAGAUAUAGGAUGUAGUCAAAGCGAAUUGGAGAUGGUGAGAGUCCAGUACGAAGCCUAUAUUGAAAAACAUCUCGGAGUUUCUAACCGAAAGCUAUUUUAGGUAGUUAGUAGACUUAGACGGAGCCAAACCGUUAUGCUUUGGACAGUAUUGAUGCAGCAACUUAUUUAAACUCAUGUUGUGUUUUAGUUUUAGUUCUUGUUAUAUGCUAAAUUCACGGCAUAGUUAUAUUGAGCAAUUUGUUUUGCUGGCUUAUGUACUGAUUAGAGUGGUCAUUUAAUGACAAUUUGGGUGGUACCGCGAAGAUUCAGUCUUUCGUCCCUUAA